Long non-coding RNA from Rhagoletis zephyria (snowberry fruit fly), 1154 nucleotides. RefSeq lists it as uncharacterized. Lineage: Eukaryota; Metazoa; Arthropoda; Insecta; Diptera; Tephritidae. The record is from RefSeq and is a predicted model, not a curated record.
CAUUACUCAUUCAUCGUUUAUGAUUCGGAUUACACGGUUUUUAGACCAAUUCCUAUCUUAAUUUUUUACAGCGCUUUACAUGGAUUCGUCUUUCGGGGCAUAGUUUGACUCAUUCGGCGUUUAUCUUUCUGUUUAUACCUAACUUUUUAUACCUUAAAUUACGAGACGCUUUGUUUGGAUUAUUCUUUCGUGGAGUUAAUUUAUUUCAUUCGUCGCCCUUUAUUUCGGUUAAACCAAUUUUUACUUCAACAUUUUGAAAUUCUAUUCAAGAUUUGUUUAAUGUUUUAGAGUAUACGCUUUUAUACUAGUUUUUAAUCUUUUCAUCAUUCGUAUUGUAGUUAUACGUCUUGUUUGCUUUACUGUCACUAUUUGCCUAUUUUUUAUGUCUUCGGGCUUGUUUUAGCUAUGUAUGUCACAUUGAAUGACGAAUAUGGACGACAUGUAAAAGGGCGUUAAUUUAUUGUGUUUAAAUAAGAAUAUAUCAGUGAUUGAAAAUAAUCUUUUCAAAAGUUUCACUUACGGUUUUUUCGACAAGAUUUUCAGUUCGAAGAUUUGAUUAUUUUAGUGCAAAUAUUGUAAAAAUUAUCAAGGAAUAUGUACAUAAGGUUUUAAUUGCUUUACGCUCCAAAGUCUUAUGUUGCCUAUUUGGCUCUGUUUACUGACGAAAAAUGUAAAAUGCUAAGCUAAAUGUAAAAGCUAGCUAAAAAGUGUAUUAGGACUAAAUUUAAGUCUAGACCUCCACUUUCCUGGUAACACUAUGAGCCAUCUAAUGGGCUCUGUGAAAUAUGGCAUAUGUAUGUACAUAUGUAUAUUCGAAACAGAUGCGAUUCAGAGUUGUUAGCAAAUUGUCCAAAAUUACCAAAAACAAUUUUUGCUUUCUAAAUAAUCAAAUACAUUAUAUGGAUAGCAAGUUAUUUUAAAUAGCUCAGAAACCUAUACGAACCGUGUAAGCUUGAAAGGAGCACAAUAAAAUAUUCGUAGCUUUAGGUCUUUAGACUUUUUUCACUUGCAGAUUUUUGAGAAACAUUUCUUUAGAUGUAAUUUUGGCUAAGAGAAAUUUUUAAAACUUUUUAAAGCAUUUAAAUUUUUAAGAUUCAAAGUAUGGGUUACAGCAAAAAAUUAUCUCUGAAAAUAUUGCGAAUGUUCAUUCGAAU